Molecule: long non-coding RNA, 358 nt
Organism: Hyla sarda
Lineage: Eukaryota; Metazoa; Chordata; Amphibia; Anura; Hylidae
Exons: 3
Source: RefSeq, a predicted model, not a curated record
CAACUUUUCCUCUACACAGGUUUUGAUUAAUCUCCCACCAUGUAGUUAUGCCCCUGACCCCUGCUUCUAAUGUCUUGGUGCCAUACACCACAGGACACUUUAAGAAGUCUUGUAGACUCCAGGCUCCGAAGGGUACCGGAGACCACUGCUGGAGCUGCAAAAGGGGGCGAUCUGAAAAGAAAAGGGGAAAAAUCCCCCGAUAUGUACCCCUCUAAUUGUGGACCACACAAAACCAGCCUUUGGAAAUCUUCAGCAGUGCGUUUCCCAUCGGUACCUUCAGCAGCAUUGUCAUCCUGGAGAAGAGAUGCUAGAGGGUCCUCCUCCAUGGUUGGCGGAAGGGGAGACAAUGGCAGCAAAU